This 591-nucleotide ribosomal RNA is filed under the name uncultured methanogenic archaeon. RNAcentral describes it as "bacterial SSU rRNA". It matches the Rfam family "Archaeal small subunit ribosomal RNA", at positions 735 to 1326 of the family's 1478-position model. The record is from RNAcentral. Lineage: Archaea; Methanobacteriati; Methanobacteriota.
ACCCCGUUAGUCCCAGCCGGUAAACUAUGCGCGUUAGGUGUGCUGUAACUACGAGUACCGGGGUGCCGAAGUGAAAACGUGAAACGUGCCGCCUGGGAAGUACGGUCGCAAGGCUGAAACUUAAAGGAAUUGGCGGGGGAGCACCACAACGGGUGGAGCUGCGGUUUAAUUGGACUCAACGCCGGGCAGCUCACCGGAUAGGACAGCGGAAUGAUAGCCGGGCUGAAGACCUUGCUUGACCAGCUGAGAGGAGGUGCAUGGCCGUCGUCAGUUCGUACUGUGAAGCAUCCUGUUUAGUCAGGCAACGAGCGAGACCCACGCCAACAGUAGCUAGCAUGUUCUCCGGAAUGAUGAAGACAAAAAAAAAAACCGCCUCUGCUAAAGAGGAGGAAGGAAUGGGCAACGGUAGGUCAGCAUGCCCCGAAUUAUCCGGGCUACACGCGGGCUACAAUGGUCAGGACAAUGGGAAACGGCACUGAAAAGUGUAGUCAAUCUCCUAAACCUGUCCCAAGUUCGGAUUGUGGGCUGCAACUCGCCCACAUGAAGCUGGAAUCCGUAGUAAUCGCGUUUCAAAAUAGCGCGGUGAAUAAG